RNAcentral lists this ribosomal RNA (398 nucleotides) under uncultured Cryomorphaceae bacterium. RNAcentral's name for it is "bacterial LSU rRNA". It matches the Rfam family "Bacterial large subunit ribosomal RNA", at positions 1 to 409 of the family's 2925-position model. Lineage: Bacteria; Pseudomonadati; Bacteroidota; Flavobacteriia; Flavobacteriales; Cryomorphaceae. The record is from RNAcentral.
AUAAAAGUAAAUAAGAGCGUAUGGCGGAUGCCUUGGCUCUCAGAGGCGAUGAAGGACGUGAUAAGCUGCGAUAAGCCACGGGUAGGUGCAAACAACCUGCAAUCCGUGGAUUUCCGAAUGGGGAAACCCAGUGCCGUGAAGCGGCAUUAUCCCGAUUUAUCAGGAAGCAAACCCAGGGAACUGAAACAUCUAAGUACCUGGAGGACAAGAAAACAAAAGUGAUUCCCCUAGUAGCGGCGAGCGAACGGGGAACAGCCCAAACCACAAUUGUUUCGGCAUUUGUGGGGUUGUAGGACUGCAACACGGACUUUGAAUUUAUAGCAGAAUCUUCUGGAAAGUUGAACCAUAGAGGGUGAUAGUCCUGUAAGCGAAAUAAAUUCAAUACCUAGCAGUAUCCU